AGCAAAGCGUUGUGCUUCUCUGAUAAGGAAGAGGUCCCUGGUUCGAGUCCAGGCAGGCCCA
Molecule: transfer RNA, 61 nt
Filed under: Actinomycetota bacterium
Lineage: Bacteria; Bacillati; Actinomycetota
Description: tRNA-Ile
Rfam family: tRNA
About the family: Transfer RNA (tRNA) molecules are approximately 80 nucleotides in length. Their secondary structure includes four short double-helical elements and three loops (D, anti-codon, and T loops).
Source: RNAcentral